This 540-nucleotide long non-coding RNA is filed under the name Fukomys damarensis (Damara mole-rat). Its description in RNAcentral is "lncRNA (ENSFDAG00000024090.1)". Lineage: Eukaryota; Metazoa; Chordata; Mammalia; Rodentia; Bathyergidae. The record is from RNAcentral.
UAAAAAUCUGGGCAGAGAACGAUAUAAGAAAGAAAGAAAUCAGUGCUGCAAAGCUCUUGUAAAAGGUGAUUUCUCCUUUCACUCCAUGACUGAGCAAAAUGAGGCACAAAAAGGUACAGACUAGCUGAAAUACAGACAGCAAGUGAGUGACAGAUACAGGACUGGAAGAUCCAAGAGAGUCUGAAACAAUGUACACUGCGCGUCAGUCCCAACGCCAGCUUGUUCCAGCUCUUCCUGAGUGCUAGGCCCAUCUAGCCUCACGCAGAUCUCUAGACGGACCCCGUAGCGCAACUGGCACAAACCAGGACCACAGCCCUGCGGCAAGGCAGGAGUGUCCUCCUCCAGCAGAGUUAAGAUUGGAAGAGACGGAGGCAGAGGUGGAGGCGGGGGCAAAAGAGAAUUCGGAGGAGGAGGUGAGGAGGAGGAAAGGGGAGGAGGGAAGGGGGAGGGGAAGAAGAGGGGAAGGAAAAUGUUGGAGGAGGAGGGGGAAAGAAACAGGAGGAGGAGGAGGAGAAGGGGGAGGAGAACCAGGAGGAGGGG